Molecule: long non-coding RNA, 1014 nt
Organism: Dama dama (fallow deer)
Lineage: Eukaryota; Metazoa; Chordata; Mammalia; Artiodactyla; Cervidae
Exons: 4
Source: RefSeq, a predicted model, not a curated record
UCUGCAAUAGGAGAAGCCUCCACAAGAAGCCCAUGAACGGCAACGAUGAGUGUAGCCCCCGCUCCCUGCAGCUAGAGAAAGCCUGUGUGCAGCAUUGAAAACCCAGCCCAGCCAAAAAUAAAUACAUUCAUUAAAAAAAAAUUCCUUACUUUUAUUGGAAAAUUUCUACACACUCAGAAAAAUAGUGCAAUAAACACCUCACAUCACUGCUCAGAUCAAGCAAUUAUUAUUAUUUUGCUGAACAUUUCAGUGUAUAUCUGUAUUUUUAAGAAACAUUUAAAAAUAGUUGCAAACACUGUGCUUAUUUACACUUAAACAGUUCAGCCAGCAUCCCCUAAAAAUAAGGACAUUUUCUUACCUAACUAUAUUAUCACCCCUAAGAAAAUUAACAAUACUUCCUUACUUUCAUCUAAUAACCAGUCCAUAUUCUCAUUUCCCAAAUUUCAUUCAAAUUAAAAUUUCACACACUUACUUUUGGUUUCUUUUUAGAAAUUUGUGAUCUAGAAAGCCCUUAACAAACAACACUGACUUUUCAAAAGGACAAGAAAAUUUGUCUUACUUUUCCUUGUAGUAUCAUUUAAUUCUAAAAGCAGAUUGUCAGUUUUAUGAUAACAAAUUCCUAUUACCAUGUGAAAGUUUUCAGAAGUUGCAGUGGUUUGAAGCCACAAAAUCUUUUUGGUCUGGCUGAUUCUUUCAUGGUUCCUGAAGGUUUGCAGCUGUAGAAUGUUGGAGCCAGAAAGCCCACUGACAUGGAAGUAAAGGGUGAUUUCUGAGAUGCUUGCAACAGCUCAGUGAGGUAGGCCUGACAGGCAUGGAAGAGGCGAAAAUAAAUGGAUCAGAAAACUAUACCAGGUGUCAGAGGUUCUGGACACAGUGCUGAACAAUACAGAUGCAGUUCCUGCUUUUAUGAAGCUCAGAGGAGAGCAGAGGAGUCAGAGGGAAGAGAAAGCUGAGGAGUGUCCAGCUCUGCUUAUUACACAGUGAACUGCUAUCUAAGAGAAGGAGGUACCUGCC